This 438-nucleotide ribosomal RNA is filed under the name Triticum aestivum (bread wheat). Its description in RNAcentral is "partial small subunit ribosomal RNA". The record is from RNAcentral. Lineage: Eukaryota; Viridiplantae; Streptophyta; Magnoliopsida; Poales; Poaceae.
AUGGCGGUGCUGUCGGUGUUCGCCGCCUUCGACAAGGACGGCGACGGCAAGGUUUCUGUGUCCGAGCUACGGCGCUGCAUGGAGGCGACGCUGGGCGAGGACGUGCCCGAGGAGGAGGCGGCGGUAAUCCUUGCAGCGGUGGACGCGGACGGCGACGGGCUGCUAAACCAAGAAGAGUUCUCGAGACUGGCCGCCGCUGGCACCCAUGAAGAGGACAAUGCCGACAUCAAGCGAAGGUGCCUGAGGGAGGUGUUCGGGAUGUACGCGUCGUCGUCUGCGGAAGACAUGAUUACGCCAGCGAGCUUGAGGCGGACGCUGACCAGGCUGGGGUCGCACGAGCUGCGCGUGGAGGAGUGUAGGGCAAUGAUCUGCAGGUUCGACCUUGACGGCGACGGCAAACUCUCGUUCGACGAGUUCCGGGUCAUGAUGAUGGUCUGA